CCCUGGUCUGAAGACUCCCUAUUCCCUAUGGGCCCUGGUCUGAAGACUCCCUAUUCCCUAUGGGCCCUGGUCAGAAGACUCCCUAUUCCCUAUGGGCCCUGGUCAGAGGGGGGAGGGGGGAACCUGUGGUGAAUCACUCUAAGGACAGGGCUGGGGUGGGGAGGGGAGAACCUGGGGUGAAUCACUCUAAGGAUUGGGCUGUGGUGAAUCACUCUAAGGACAGGGCUGGUGUGAAUCACUCUAAGGAUUGGGCUGAGGUGAAUCACUCUAAGGAUUGGGCUGUGGUGAAUCACUCUAAGGAUUGGGCUGAGGUGAAUCACUCUAAGGACAGGACUGGUGUGAAUCACUCUAAGGAUUGGGCUGAGGUGAAUCACUCUAAGGAUUGGGCUGAGGUGAAUCACUCUAAGGAUUGGGCUGAGGUGAAUCACUCUAAGGAUUGGGCUGAGGUGAAUCACUCUAAGGAUUGGGCUGAGGUGAAUCACUCUAAGGAUUGGGCUGAGGUGAAUCACUCUAGUUUCAGCUGUAGUAGAUCUACAUGGAUCGCGAACGCCUCAAGCUCAGGGUUGACAAGGUGAAGCAG
Oncorhynchus tshawytscha (Chinook salmon) is the source of this 580-nucleotide long non-coding RNA. Lineage: Eukaryota; Metazoa; Chordata; Actinopteri; Salmoniformes; Salmonidae. The record is from Ensembl.